AGAACGAACGCUGGCGGCAGGCCUCAAACAUGCAAGUCUAGGGGGUGUAGCAAUACAUCACCGGCGGACGGGUGCGUAACGCGUGGGAAUGUACCUAUUGGUUCGGAACAACUGAGGGAAACUUCAGCUAAUACCGGAUGAGCCCGAAAGGGGAAAGAUUUCUCGCCAAUAGAUCAGCCCGCGUCCGAUUAGCUAGUUGGUGGGGUUAAAGCCUACCAAGGCGACGAUCGGUAGCUGUUCUGAGAGGAAGAUCAGCCACACUGGGACUGAGACACGGCCCAGACUCCUACGGGAGGCAGCAGUUGGGAAUCUUGGACAAUGGGGGAAACCCUGAUCCAGCCAUGCCGCGUGAGUGAUGAAGGCCUUCGGGUUGUAAAACUCUUUCGACGGGGACGAUAAUGACGGUACCCGUAGAAGAAGCUCCGGCUAACUUCGCGCCAGCAGCCGC
RNAcentral lists this ribosomal RNA (448 nucleotides) under uncultured bacterium. RNAcentral describes it as "SSU rRNA". It matches the Rfam family "Bacterial small subunit ribosomal RNA", at positions 26 to 518 of the family's 1533-position model. The record is from RNAcentral.